AUUGAACGCUGGCGGCAGGCCUAACACAUGCAAGUCGAGCGGUAGCACAGAGAGCUUGCUCUCGGGUGACGAGCGGCGGACGGGUGAGUAAUGUCUGGGAAACUGCCUGAUGGAGGGGGAUAACUACUGGAAACGGUAGCUAAUACCGCAUAAUGUCGCAAGACCAAAGUGGGGGACCUUCGGGCCUCAUGCCAUCAGAUGUGCCCAGAUGGGAUUAGCUAGUAGGUGGGGUAAUGGCUCACCUAGGCGACGAUCCCUAGCUGGUCUGAGAGGAUGACCAGCCACACUGGAACUGAGACACGGUCCAGACUCCUACGGGAGGCAGCAGUGGGGAAUAUUGCACAAUGGGCGCAAGCCUAAUGCAGCCAUGCCGCGUGUGUGAAGAAGGCCUUCGGGUUGUAAAGCACUUUCAGCGGGGAGGAAGGCGUUAAGGUUAAUAACCUUGGCGAUUGACGUUACCCGCAGAAGAAGCACCGGCUAACUCCGUGCCAGCAGCCGCGGUAAUACGGAGGGUGCAAGCGUUAAUCGGAAUUACUGGGCGUAAAGCGCACGCAGGCGGUCUGUCAAGUCGGAUGUGAAAUCCCCGGGCUCAACCUGGGAACUGCAUUCGAAACUGGCAGGCUAGAGUCUUGUAGAGGGGGGUAGAAUUCCAGGUGUAGCGGUGAAAUGCGUAGAGAUCUGGAGGAAUACCGGUGGCGAAGGCGGCCCCCUGGACAAAGACUGACGCUCAGGUGCGAAAGCGUGGGGAGCAAACAGGAUUAGAUACCCUGGUAGUCCACGCCGUAAACGAUGUCGAUUUGGAGGUUGUGCCCUUGAGGCGUGGCUUCCGGAGCUAACGCGUUAAAUCGACCGCCUGGGGAGUACGGCCGCAAGGUUAAAACUCAAAUGAAUUGACGGGGGCCCGCACAAGCGGUGGAGCAUGUGGUUUAAUUCGAUGCAACGCGAAGAACCUUACCUGGUCUUGACAUCCACAGAACUUAGCAGAGAUGCUUUGGUGCCUUCGGGAACUGUGAGACAGGUGCUGCAUGGCUGUCGUCAGCUCGUGUUGUGAAAUGUUGGGUUAAGUCCCGCAACGAGCGCAACCCUUAUCCUUUGUUGCCAGCGGUUAGGCCGGGAACUCAAAGGAGACUGCCAGUGAUAAACUGGAGGAAGGUGGGGAUGACGUCAAGUCAUCAUGGCCCUUACGACCAGGGCUACACACGUGCUACAAUGGCAUAUACAAAGAGAAGCGACCUCGCGAGAGCAAGCGGACCUCAUAAAGUAUGUCGUAGUCCGGAUUGGAGUCUGCAACUCGACUCCAUGAAGUCGGAAUCGCUAGUAAUCGUAGAUCAGAAUGCUACGGUGAAUACGUUCCCGGGCCUUGUACACACCGCCCGUCACACCAUGGGAGUGGGUUGCAAAAGAAGUAGGUAGCUUAACCUUCGGGAGGGCGCUUACCACUUUGUGAUUCAUGACUGGGGUGA
This 1463-nucleotide ribosomal RNA is filed under the name uncultured Klebsiella sp. Its description in RNAcentral is "bacterial SSU rRNA". It matches the Rfam family "Bacterial small subunit ribosomal RNA". Lineage: Bacteria; Pseudomonadati; Pseudomonadota; Gammaproteobacteria; Enterobacterales; Enterobacteriaceae. The record is from RNAcentral.